Molecule: ribosomal RNA, 345 nt
Filed under: Peronia verruculata
Lineage: Eukaryota; Metazoa; Mollusca; Gastropoda; Systellommatophora; Onchidiidae
Description: partial large subunit ribosomal RNA
Source: RNAcentral
GUGGNUUUUAAAGGGAGGCGAGUAUGAAUGGNUCUACGGAAACAAGCUGUCUCUUUUUGGUUAUAUUGAAGUUUCUUUAAGGGUGCAAAGUCCCUUGAUUAGAAAAAAGACGAGAAGACCCUUAGAGUUUUUAUUAAAGAUAAGAAUUUAUUUAAGUUUUUGCUGGGGCGGCAAAGAGACAAAGCAAUUAAACUCUCUUUUUAUUGUUUUUAGAAGACGAAAAUGUUAAGAAUCAUUAAACUACCUUAGGGAUAACAGCAUAAUUAAAUUUUAGUUUGUGACCUCGAUGUUGGACUAGGAAGGCUUUUGACCAGCAGUCAAAAAGUGUGGUUCUGUUCGAACUAA